Capra hircus (goat) is the source of this 280-nucleotide long non-coding RNA. RefSeq lists it as uncharacterized. The transcript is spliced from 3 exons. NCBI's taxonomy places the organism in Eukaryota, Metazoa, Chordata, Mammalia, Artiodactyla, Bovidae. The record is from RefSeq and is a predicted model, not a curated record.
UCCAGUUUUUACUUCCGGCACCCGCCCAAGGAAUCGGCCAGACCUGGUUGUGAUAAAGCUGCAAAUGGACGCGUCUGCUAUAUUUUAUUGCCACUGAAACAAACAUUUGUGGAGAGUCUACUAUGUACUAGGCGUGCGCCGUGGAUAAAGCAGGGGAUGAGAUCCAGGGUCGAGGAUGGGGGCUGGAGAUCAACUGGAAAGAAACAACUAGACAAUAAUUUAAUCACAAGUUUGGGCUCCAGGCUCCUGUCAGUGAAAUUCUCCAGGCAAGAAUACUGAA